This is a long non-coding RNA of Coregonus clupeaformis (lake whitefish), 851 nucleotides long. RefSeq lists it as uncharacterized. NCBI's taxonomy places the organism in Eukaryota, Metazoa, Chordata, Actinopteri, Salmoniformes, Salmonidae. The transcript has 2 exons. The record is from RefSeq and is a predicted model, not a curated record.
CACAUCCAUUCUUUUUAUUGAUAAAUGAUCAUUUUUAAAAGACCCAAGCCAUUUCAUAUUCCAACUUAUUCAAAGCUACAGUUUCAACGUGCUGAAUUAACUAUUUACAAAGAUAGCUUGUCUCAUCAUCACUUCCUGAACAACAUUAGUUAAGAGAUUGUGCCCAGUCUUCUCAACAGGAUUGUAGAUUGCUCAUCGACUGCAACACUAGCUAGCUGGGUUUCACUGGCUACAGGAAACAAAUCAGGCAAUAAGCAGGAAGUAGGUUACAUUCUAGUAGCACAGGUGGGAGAGCCGGAGAGUUAAGGAUGGGAUCAGAACAUUUAAACAGUACCUUUCCUUUCUGAAUCGGGAAAAAAACAAUAGAACCCUGGUGUCGGUUAGAAAAAGGAGGACAACAACAACAUGCAAAUGUGAUUUAAUCCCAUAAAGUGGUGUGUUGGCCAGCUUCAACAGAAACAAAACAGCAGGUUAUUGCUCUAAGGACAGUGUAAGCAGUAUGAUGGAGGUAAAUCAUAGUGGAACACUGGGAUAUGAUCUAACAGGUAAAUCAUAGUGAAACACUGGGACAUGAUCUAACAGGUAAAUCAUAGUGAAACACUGGGAUAUGAUCUAACAGGUAAAGCAAUAGUGAAACAUACUUGUGAAACAUACUUGGGCAGCAACAUUGGCACACAUGGAUUUAAGGAGGAAGAUGUUAAAAGGGGAUCAUUUCAGAGUAUUAAAAUCAUGAACAGUACUAUGUAUUAUACAGGCAGGGCGUUACUAGGGUUACAUACAGUAUGGAGAGACAGAGAGAGAGAGAGAGAGAGAGACAGAGAGAGAGAGACAGAGAGAGAGAGAGAGAGAGA